GUGGGGAAUCUUCCGCAAUGGACGAAAGUCUGACGGAGCAACGCCGCGUGAGUGAUGAAGGUCUUCGGAUUGUAAAGCUCUGUUAAUCGGGACGAAAGAGCCUAGUGUGAAUAAUGCUAGGAAGUGACGGUACCGGAAUAGAAAGCCACGGCUAACUACGUGCCAGCAGCCGCGGUAAUACGUAGGUGGCAAGCGUCGUCCGGAAUUAUUGGGCGUAAAGCGCGCGCAGGCGGAUCUGCCAGUCUGUCUUAAAAGUUCGGGGCUUAACCCCGUGAUGGGAUGGAAACUACAGAUCUAGAGUAUCGGAGAGGAAAGUGGAAUUCCUAGUGUAGCGGUGAAAUGCGUAGAUAUUAGGAAGAACACCAGUGGCGAAGGCGACUUUCUGGACGAAAACUGACGCUGAGGCGCGAAAGCCAGGGGAGCGAACGGGAUUAGAUACCCGGGUAGUCC
This 450-nucleotide ribosomal RNA is filed under the name uncultured bacterium. Its description in RNAcentral is "partial 16S ribosomal RNA". It matches the Rfam family "Bacterial small subunit ribosomal RNA", at positions 354 to 796 of the family's 1533-position model. The record is from RNAcentral.